Molecule: long non-coding RNA, 473 nt
Filed under: Chinchilla lanigera (long-tailed chinchilla)
Lineage: Eukaryota; Metazoa; Chordata; Mammalia; Rodentia; Chinchillidae
Description: lncRNA (ENSCLAG00000028149.1)
Source: RNAcentral
CGCUAAGAAGUACCCUGAGUUCUACAAGAGCAGAGGAAAUGUCUUCAGGGAAUAGCUAGUGCAAAGGUCUUGGACAGGAAAGUACCUAGCAGGUAGGCAGAAAAAGAGUCACUGUGGCAGCAAGAGAAGUAUGAGAUGAACAGACAUGAAGGCAGGGACCAGAAUAUGCCCAGCUUCACAGCCACAGCGUGGAGUUUGGAUUUUAUUCUAUGUGCAGGAACAGCUGCGAUGUGUCCUGAGUAGGCCUCCCCAGGAAGCAGACUCUGAGGUGGAGAUCAGCAGGCAGCUUCCCUGACUCAGCGGUUGUGCUGUGGAAGCCGGUGACUGGGAGCUCGGAGUGCACAGGCAGCUCUUCAAUUUCAAACCCGGCUCCUAACACUCUGGAAGGUGCUCGAUCUAAUCUCAACAGCGCCACCUCGUGUUUUUGAAAAGUCACAGUAGCCGUAGACACCUAGACUCUUGUUGCUUGAUUU